GCACAAGCGGUGGAUGAUGUGGUUAAUUCGAUGCAACGCGAAAACCUUACCCACCUUUGACAUGUACGGAAGCCUUUAGAGAUAGAGGCGUGCUCGAAAGAGAGCCGUAACACAGGUGCUGCAUGGCUGUCGUCAGCUCGUGUCGUGAGAUGUUGGGUUAAGUCCCGCAACGAGCGCAACCCUUGUCAUUAGUUGCUACAUUCAGUUGGGCACUCUAAUGAGACUGCCGGUGACAAGCCGGAGGAAGGUGGGGAUGACGUCAAGUCCUCAUGGCCCUUAUAGGUGGGGCUACACACGUCAUACAAUGGCUGGUACAAAGGGUUGCCAACCCGCGAGGGGGAGCUAAUCCCAUAAAGCCAGUCGUAGUCCGGAUCGUAGUCUGCAACUCGACUACGUGAAGUCGGAAUCGCUAGUAAUCGUGGAUCAGAAUGUCACGGUGAAUACGUUCCCGGGUCUU
This 457-nucleotide ribosomal RNA is filed under the name uncultured Rhodoferax sp. RNAcentral describes it as "bacterial SSU rRNA". It matches the Rfam family "Bacterial small subunit ribosomal RNA", at positions 923 to 1382 of the family's 1533-position model. Lineage: Bacteria; Pseudomonadati; Pseudomonadota; Betaproteobacteria; Burkholderiales; Comamonadaceae. The record is from RNAcentral.